GGGGGGAGGCUGGAUCCCGGGCUGUAUCCCUGGCGCCUUGGGCUCCCAAGCCUGCGCUUUGGAUUCGUGCUCCUGGCCGCGCAGCCCCCU
This 90-nucleotide microRNA precursor is filed under the name Canis lupus familiaris (dog). RNAcentral describes it as "mir-8799 microRNA precursor family". It matches the Rfam family "mir-8799 microRNA precursor family". The record is from Rfam by way of RNAcentral. Lineage: Eukaryota; Metazoa; Chordata; Mammalia; Carnivora; Canidae.